Molecule: ribosomal RNA, 427 nt
Filed under: Anolis semilineatus
Lineage: Eukaryota; Metazoa; Chordata; Lepidosauria; Squamata; Anolidae
Description: partial 16S ribosomal RNA
Rfam family: Bacterial large subunit ribosomal RNA
Source: RNAcentral
UGUCUUCUAAAUAAAGACCGGUAUCAACGGCUAAAUGAAUAUUUAACUGUCUCCUUUAACUAAUCAGUGAAACUGAUUUUCCAGUACAAAAGCUGGAAUAAACCCAUAAGACGAGAAGACCCUGUGGAGCUUUAAAUUUAAAACAAGUACUUUACUCUAAAAUACUUAUGUCCAUAAAUUUUAAGUUGGGGCGACUUCGGAGAAAAACCCAACCUCCGAUAAAAGAGGCACACCCUAAAUGAGGCCAACCGGCAAAACCAACAUUGACCCAGUAUUACUGAUCAACGAACCAAGUUACCCCAGGGAUAACAGCGCCAUCUUCUUCAAGAGUUCAUAUCGACAAGAAGGUUUACGACCUCGAUGUUGGAUCAGGACACCCAAAUGGUGUAGCCGCUAUUAAAGGUUCGUUUGUUCAACGAUUAACAGU